GACGAACGCUGGCGGCAUGCCUAAUACAUGCAAGUUGAGCGCUGAAGGUUGGUACUUGUACCAACUGGAUGAGCAGCGAACGGGUGAGUAACGCGUGGGGAAUCUGCCUUUGAGCGGGGGACAACAUUUGGAAACGAAUGCUAAUACCGCAUAAAAACUUUAAACACAAGUUUUAAGUUUGAAAGAUGCAAUUGCAUCACUCAAAGAUGAUCCCGCGUUGUAUUAGCUAGUUGGUGAGGUAAAGGCUCACCAAGGCGAUGAUACAUAGCCGACCUGAGAGGGUGAUCGGCCACAUUGGGACUGAGACACGGCCCAAACUCCUACGGGAGGCAGCAGUAGGGAAUCUUCGGCAAUGGACGAAAGUCUGACCGAGCAACGCCGCGUGAGUGAAGAAGGUUUUCGGAUCGUAAAACUCUGUUGGUAGAGAAGAACGUUGGUGAGAGUGGAAAGCUCAUCAAGUGACGGUAACUACCCAGAAAGGGACGGCUAACUACGUG
This 497-nucleotide ribosomal RNA is filed under the name uncultured bacterium. Its description in RNAcentral is "partial 16S ribosomal RNA". It matches the Rfam family "Bacterial small subunit ribosomal RNA", at positions 28 to 507 of the family's 1533-position model. The record is from RNAcentral.